Molecule: ribosomal RNA, 507 nt
Filed under: Bacillus mojavensis
Lineage: Bacteria; Bacillati; Bacillota; Bacilli; Caryophanales; Bacillaceae
Description: bacterial SSU rRNA
Rfam family: Bacterial small subunit ribosomal RNA
Source: RNAcentral
UAGAAGUUUUUGAUUUCUGCUCAGGACGAACGCUGGCGGCGUGCCUAAUACAUGCAAGUCGAGCGGACAGAUGGGAGCUUGCUCCCUGAUGUUAGCGGCGGACGGGUGAGUAACACGUGGGUAACCUGCCUGUAAGACUGGGAUAACUCCGGGAAACCGGGGCUAAUACCGGAUGCUUGUUUGAACCGCAUGGUUCAAACAUAAAAGGUGGCUUCGGCUACCACUUACAGAUGGACCCGCGGCGCAUUAGCUAGUUGGUGAGGUAACGGCUCACCAAGGCAACGAUGCGUAGCCGACCUGAGAGGGUGAUCGGCCACACUGGGAGUGAGACACGGCCCAGACUCCUACGGGAGGCAGCAGUAGGGAAUCUUCCGCAAUGGACGAAAGUCUGACGGAGCAACGCCGCGUGAGUGAUGAAGGUUUUCGGAUCGUAAAGCUCUGUUGUUAGGGAAGAACAAGUACCGUUCGAAUAGGGCGGUACCUGACGGUACCUACCAGAGACCGAUG